Molecule: transfer RNA, 69 nt
Filed under: Mesocricetus auratus (golden hamster)
Lineage: Eukaryota; Metazoa; Chordata; Mammalia; Rodentia; Cricetidae
Rfam family: tRNA
About the family: Transfer RNA (tRNA) molecules are approximately 80 nucleotides in length.
Source: Rfam by way of RNAcentral
GCUCAGUCUAGCUGGUAAAGCAUGAGACUCUUAAUCUCAGUAUCGUGGGUUUAAGUCUCAUGUUGGGCA